Molecule: non-coding RNA, 446 nt
Organism: Pteronotus mesoamericanus
Lineage: Eukaryota; Metazoa; Chordata; Mammalia; Chiroptera; Mormoopidae
Source: the annotation of a RefSeq genome assembly
AGGAUAAGACAGGAGCUUGGAGAGGCCAGGGCCAGCUGGGCAGCCUCAGGGCAGAGCUCCUGGAAGCCACUGCCGCCAUGGACUGGGCUCCCUUCUACCUCCUGCCCCUGGUUUUCUCCACAGGUCUCUGUGCUGAGCCUGUGCUGACCCAGCCUCUCUCUGCUUAUGCCUCUCUGGGAGCCUCGGCCACACUCACCUGCACCCUGAGCAGUGAGCACAGCGACUCCACCGUUUACUGGUAUCAGCAGCAGCCAGGGAAGGCCCCUCGGCAUUUGUUGUACGUUACCAGUGGCGGAAUCGACAGGAACGGGGAAGGAAUCCCCGACCGCUUCUCGGGCUCCAGUUCUGGGGCGGACCGCUACUUAACCAUCUCCAACCUCCAGCCUGAGGACGAGGCUGAGUAUAUCUGUGAUGCAGACUAUAAAAUUGAUGGACAAUAUGGUUAA